AUGACCAUCAUUGCUGUUAGUAAAUAAGGGGUUCAAAACGAUUGUUGCGCAGGGAAUCCCGUGCAAAACGGGAGCGGGCCCGCCGCUGUGAUCGGGGACCGUGUCCGCCAAUGCCACUGGCCAUGAGCCGGGAAGGCGCGGCCCACGGGUUGAUCCGUAAGCCAGAAUACCUGCUGUCUGUCAAAUCGUGCG
Molecule: non-coding RNA, 192 nt
Filed under: Desulfocarbo indianensis
Lineage: Bacteria; Pseudomonadati; Thermodesulfobacteriota; Desulfarculia; Desulfarculales; Desulfarculaceae
Source: RNAcentral